RNAcentral lists this transfer RNA (75 nucleotides) under Acidobacteriota bacterium. RNAcentral's name for it is "Acidobacteria bacterium (wastewater metagenome) tRNA-Val". It matches the Rfam family "tRNA". Rfam says of the family: Transfer RNA (tRNA) molecules are approximately 80 nucleotides in length. The record is from RNAcentral. Lineage: Bacteria; Pseudomonadati; Acidobacteriota.
GGACAGGUAGUUCAGUGGGAGAACGCCCGCCUCACACGCGGGAGGCCGUGGGUUCAAACCCCACCCUGUCCACCA